Molecule: long non-coding RNA, 1692 nt
Filed under: Ananas comosus (pineapple)
Lineage: Eukaryota; Viridiplantae; Streptophyta; Magnoliopsida; Poales; Bromeliaceae
Description: long non-coding RNA (ACOM_LNC027190)
Source: RNAcentral
UUCUACUGUCAAAUCAAAUAAAUUAAUAUUAUAUUUUUUCACUGUACCUAACAUAAUUUUUUCAUAAUCAUAUCCUUACCAAUAUAUCUUCAAUUAAUAAAGUGGUGACUAUUUUGAUGGUUUAUAUGGCAAAGAAUUGCAGCAAGAAGAGAAUAUAUAUUUAGUGAAUUAUCUAUAUAAAUAUAUGAAUCCUCAGUUUGCUUUAACCCUUGAAUGAAAAAUUAUAGGAUUAGAAUGAUAUUAGUGCUUUAGUAUUGAGUGGUCCUUUUAGAGUUAAGUGGUUCAUACUGGAUUAUAAUAUUUAAUCCAAUGUUUAGAAAUAAUGAAAGGAAUUGAUCCAAAAGUUAAAAAUUUGAUAGUAAAAAAGAUCUUUUGCUAUCAAUAAUAUUCUAGCUCAAAACUCUCUCUCUCUCCCUUUCUCUCUCUCUCUAUAUAUAUAUAAAAUAAUCUAUCUAUAUUAUAUUAUAGAUAUAUUAUUCCUCAAUCCUGAGACACGUGGCAGAGGUAGCGCGAACAAGAGCGGGAGCGGGAGCGGGGGCAGGGGCGGGGGCGGGGCGCGGGCGCCUACGGACGCGCUCGAAGGGUGGGCCCCGUGCGGGUGGGGCCCAGCAAGGGGAGAUCGAAGGGAUUUUUUUUUCCCCUCUCUCUUAAAAUUUUUUUCCUUUUCAUAUACAGAAAAAAAAAAAUAAUUUUUUGAAAUUUCAAUCUACUUUGUUAUUUUUUAUUAUAAAAUUUAAAAUAUAUAAAUAAAUUGUUAAAUAGUUUAGACUGUUGAUAUUAAAUAUAAAUAUUAAUUUUAUAAUAUUGAGAAUUCAGAUAUGAAUUGUACAUUAAAAAAUAAAAGAAAAGAUUGAUGGAGUUUACAUUAAUUUUAUAUUUUACGAAAGUUAGUUGCGAGAAUCACAUAAAAUAUACUAACUAAAAUAUUAGUACGCACUAGAUGCAAUCAAAAAUUUUUCUUCUCAUUUCACUGACUAAUGGGGGACUAUCAUACCUACUAAAAAUUUUGGAUGUGCUCAUUGCACUAUUUAUCUCUUAGACACGUGGCUAUAUUUGGAAUAAUUAGCAUGAGGUAAUUUCAUUUGUACCCCUCAAAAGAUUAGAAAUAUCAUAGAUAACCUUAUAAAAUUAGUAAUAUCAAAGCAAACAAAAGAGAAUAAGAUGAGAAAAUAUUUAAUAAAGUUGAAGAAUUAUUUCAAAAUAGCUUAUUAAUUGUUGAUAGAGAUUCUUAUAUUUUUUAUGUUAGGGAAGAUAGAUGCAUUUAUUUAAAAUUGUUCUGUAAUUUGUCCAUAACAUUCUAUAAUUAUUCUGAAAUUGAUUUUUAUAAUAAAUUUUAAAGAUUGAAUUUUAAAAUAACUACCCAUAUUAUCGCGCGGAUUUACUAGUAUAUAUAUAAGGAGAGAGUAGGGAGAUUUGGAGGGGUCCCCUAAAACCCUCCUUUAAUGUAGUUAAAUUAAAUUAAAUAGACCCCCAAAUCCUCCUUUAAUGUAGUUAAAUAGAUUUGCAUUGUAUUCUAUAUCAAAUCCAAAAUGUCCAAUGAGAUGAACAGAUCAGGUUUUACUUGUAUACUCACUAUAUAGCCUCAAACCUCAUCAUACAACAAAAUUUAACAAAACUUAGUAUUCUAUCUCACUAUGUCCCCAUUGAACCUACUCAUCUACUUCUCUAUUCUUCUCCACUCUUCAUAUGCAC